AUGAAGAGGCACCCGGAAGCGGCGGAGGUCGUCGUGCCGGCGCCGAUCAAGAAGGGGUGCGCUACGUUCUUGGUGGGCGCGGAGGAGGACGGGGCGCCGAGGCGGUUCGCGGUGCCGGUGGAGCUGCUCGGGCACCCGCGGAUCCUGGAGCUGCUCGGGGAGGCGGAAGAGAACUACGGCUACGCUUACGAGGGCGCCAUCGUCCUGCCCUGUGGCGUCGAGCGGUUCCAGAAGGCCGUCAACGCUGCGAGGGCCCAAGAACGGCACCGUCAUCAGCACCACCAUCAUCAUCACUUCAGCCUUCCUCAGCUUGUCGGGUGCUUUAGGCCGUCGCAUGUUGUUGUUUAG
This 348-nucleotide ribosomal RNA is filed under the name Triticum aestivum (bread wheat). RNAcentral describes it as "partial small subunit ribosomal RNA". The record is from RNAcentral. Lineage: Eukaryota; Viridiplantae; Streptophyta; Magnoliopsida; Poales; Poaceae.